RNAcentral lists this non-coding RNA (26 nucleotides) under Cricetulus griseus (Chinese hamster). The record is from RNAcentral. Lineage: Eukaryota; Metazoa; Chordata; Mammalia; Rodentia; Cricetidae.
GAUUUAGGGCUUAUCUAGAGAGUGAA